RNAcentral lists this ribosomal RNA (499 nucleotides) under uncultured Lachnospiraceae bacterium. Its description in RNAcentral is "bacterial SSU rRNA". It matches the Rfam family "Bacterial small subunit ribosomal RNA", at positions 8 to 507 of the family's 1533-position model. Lineage: Bacteria; Bacillati; Bacillota; Clostridia; Lachnospirales; Lachnospiraceae. The record is from RNAcentral.
AGAGUUUGAUCCUGGCUCAGGAUGAACGCUGGCGGCGUGCCUAACACAUGCAAGUCGAACGGGGUAUAUAAGCGGAAGUUUACGGAUGGAAGGUUAUAUACUUAGUGGCGGACGGGUGAGUAACGCGUGGGCAACCUGCCCCGUGCCGGGGGAUACCGCCUGGAAACAGGCGCUAAUACCGCAUAAGCGCAUACAGCCGCAUGGGUGUAUGCGGAAAGCUCCGGCGGCACGGGAUGGGCCCGCGCCCGAUUAGCCAGUUGGCGGGGUAACGGCCCACCAAAGCGACGAUCGGUAGCCGGCCUGAGAGGGCGGACGGCCACAUUGGGACUGAGACACGGCCCAAACUCCUACGGGAGGCAGCAGUGGGGAAUAUUGCACAAUGGGGGAAACCCUGAUGCAGCAACGCCGCGUGGGUGAAGGAGCGUUUCGGCGCGUAAAGCCCUGUCAGCGGGGAAGAAGAAAGACGGUACCCGACCAAGAAGCCCCGGCUAACUACGUG